Roridomyces roridus is the source of this 107-nucleotide non-coding RNA. NCBI's taxonomy places the organism in Eukaryota, Fungi, Basidiomycota, Agaricomycetes, Agaricales, Mycenaceae. The record is from the annotation of a GenBank genome assembly.
GGCACUGUGGCGGAGUGGUUAACGCGACAGAUUAGAAUUGCAUAGUUUAGCCAGUCUAUUCAUCUGUUCCACUUGUUGGGCGCAUGUUCGAAUCAUGCUAGUGGUCG